Molecule: ribosomal RNA, 587 nt
Filed under: uncultured bacterium
Lineage: Bacteria
Description: partial 16S ribosomal RNA
Rfam family: Bacterial small subunit ribosomal RNA
Source: RNAcentral
UGGGGAAUUUUGGACAAUGGGCGCAAGCCUGAUCCAGCCAUGCCGCGUGCGGGAAGAAGGCCUUCGGGUUGUAAACCGCUUUUGUCAGGGAAGAAAUCUUCUGAGUUAAUACCUCGGGAGGAUGACGGUACCUGAAGAAUAAGCACCGGCUAACUACGUGCCAGCAGCCGCGGUAAUACGUAGGGUGCAAGCGUUAAUCGGAAUUACCGGGCGUAAAGCGUGCGCAGGCGGUUUUGUAAGACAGAGGUGAAAUCCCCGGGCUCAACCUGGGAACUGCCUUUGUGACUGCAAGGCUUGAGUGCGGCAGAGGGGGAUGGAAUUCCGCGUGUAGCAGUGAAAUGCGUAGAUAUGCGGAGGAACACCGAUGGCGAAGGCAAUCCCCUGGGCCUGCACUGACGCUCAUGCACGAAAGCGUGGGGAGCAAAACAGGAUUAGAUACCCUGGUAGUCCACGCCCUAAACGAUGUCAACUGGUUGUUGGGAAGGUUCCUUCUCAGUAACGUAGCUAACGCGUGAAGUUGACCGCCUGGGGAGUACGGCCGCAAGGUUGAAACUCAAAUGAAUUGACGGGGUCAUAGCUGUUUCCUG